CGCUUCUCCAGUCUUCUGAGCAUGGCAUGGUCCAACUCCCUGAAUACAAAUUAGAAAGAUUAUAAAGAAAGCCGUAACAAAAGAAAAAAAUAUAGUUUUUUUCUCAACAAGCACUACUCACCAAGGUAACGGAACAUUUAGACCUGGUGGUCCAUACAGGAGUAAACCCUUCCAUGGUGACAGAAUUCCAGUGAACAGCUGCGGAUACUGGAAAAAAAGAAGGUAGGUGGAUAGUGGUUAGAACUAGAUGGUUGCUAUGGUCGAUGGGAUGUUUAUCGAUUAACUGGGGGUUGCUGGGUGGUAGUUUUAAUCAAUUGUUCUGGGUGAUUACUAUUUGUAAUUUCGAAAAUAACAUUAAUGCGAUGUUGUUAGGUUUUCACAUUUUUUAUGGUGGUCGCCAAAACACUUUUACGUGGCUGUUAGGUACUUGCUUGCUUUGCCUGGUUACUAGGUUGUUGAUGUUUGGCACGUUACUAAAGUGUUUUUGGUAUCUUCUAAGCAGCUGCUAGGUUUUGCUAUAGGCUGGGUGUUGCCAUUCUGCUCUAUGUGGUCGAUUGAGAGCUGUGUUGGUGUUUUGGGUGGUUGUUGGAGCAUUAAUAGUUGUUCUAGGUCAUUUCCAGCUGGUUGUAGUGGAGUUGUAGUGCAUUGCUAUAUGGCUGCUAGGCAGUUGCUUGGGCUUUCUAGGUGGUUGCUAAGCAUAAAGUUUCCAAGGAUGUUGUAAAAAAUCCAUUCAACGAAAUGUUGAAAGGGUAAAAAUAUUUAAGUUUAACUACUUUUACUGCUUGUGCUUUGUUGAGAAGACAUAUUAUGUUACGUCUAAAAUAUUUAAAAAACAUUCAAAUCCAGUCGACAGACUGCUAAUUGUUAAAUAAACGAAUAAAUACGAAUCCAGCCAACAUCGAGAUCAUUCUGCACGUGCAAGCCAUUGAGUGACUUCGUGGGAGAACCAGCGCCGCUAUCUUGUCAAGUUCACGACUCAGGUAAGUCCCACUAAAUACAUGUUAUAGUAAAUUUAAGGACAAAAUUAAGGACAAAAUCAUGCAACAUAUUCGUUUGUAAAUUUGAAGAAAUGUAGGUAUAGGACAUCUGAUAUUGAUACAUUGUAAAUUAUUUAAACUUUUUUUGUUUAAUUUAAAAUGUACUUUUCUUUCUCCAUCAGGGUGUGGCUAAAGGUUUUUAUUGGUGCUCUGUCAUCGUUGCAAGAUUUUAGAUGCAACCCAGUCAGUUGAGUCCCAUUCCUGAUGAGAGGAGACACAUUGAGACCGAACCUUGAAGCGUCCGCUGGCGUCAGCUGCUCUCCUUCCUGGACACGUCACGCAAAUUUAGAUUCGGUCUUCUUCACGGCGCUUCUGGAUGGAGGUCGCUGGAUGGAGUUGAUUCUUGGGAGCGUGUGACUCGAUGAUGUCCUUUCACAGAUGUGAACAAACAUGUCAUGCCCUGGAGAUGUUUCUGACCCACCUGAAUGUCCGCCCGUGUCCACAGCCGUCCCGAACAGCAGCACGUACUCUGUGAGAGAAGCGUGCAGCAGACACAUGGAGCCCAUCCAGCCGCCGGCGUUCAC
This is a long non-coding RNA of Puntigrus tetrazona (Sumatra barb), 1561 nucleotides long. RefSeq lists it as uncharacterized. The record is from RefSeq and is a predicted model, not a curated record. NCBI's taxonomy places the organism in Eukaryota, Metazoa, Chordata, Actinopteri, Cypriniformes, Cyprinidae. The transcript has 5 exons.